UCUUACGGCCACACCAGUGUAAAUGCGCCGAUCUCAUCUGAUCUUGGAAGUUAAACACGAUUGGGCUCAGCCAGUACUUGGAUGGGAGACCGACUGGGAACCCCGAGUGCUGUAUGCU
Molecule: ribosomal RNA, 118 nt
Filed under: Erpetoichthys calabaricus (reedfish)
Lineage: Eukaryota; Metazoa; Chordata; Cladistia; Polypteriformes; Polypteridae
Source: RNAcentral